This 508-nucleotide ribosomal RNA is filed under the name uncultured bacterium. RNAcentral's name for it is "partial 16S ribosomal RNA". It matches the Rfam family "Bacterial small subunit ribosomal RNA", at positions 28 to 523 of the family's 1533-position model. The record is from RNAcentral.
GACGAACGCUGACGGCGUGCUUUAGACAUGCAAGUCGAACGAGAGAGCCCUUCGGGGUUAGUAAAGUGGCGAACGGGUGAGUAACACGUGGGCAAUCUGCCCUUCGUUGGGGGACAACCGGGGGAAACCCCGGCUAAUACCCCGUAAGCUUGUCGGGUCGCAUGGCCUGACAAGGAGAGGUAGCUUCGGCCAUCCGGCGAAGGAGGAGCCCGCGGUACAUUAGCUAGUUGGUGAGGUAAAGGCCCACCAAGGCGACGAUGUAUAGCUGGUCUGAGAGGAUGAUCAGCCACACUGGGACUGAGACACGGCCCAGACUCCUACGGGAGGCAGCAGACGGGAAUCUUGCACAAUGGGCGAAAGCCUGAUGCAGCAACGCCGUGUGAGCGACGAAGGCCCUAGGGUCGUAAAGCUCUGUUGUUAGGGACGAAGGGCGAAGGGUUAAUAGCCCUUAGCCUGACGGUACCUUUCGAGGAAGCCCCGGCUAACUACGUGCCAGCCGCCGCCGUAA